RNAcentral lists this ribosomal RNA (469 nucleotides) under uncultured bacterium. Its description in RNAcentral is "partial 16S ribosomal RNA". It matches the Rfam family "Bacterial small subunit ribosomal RNA", at positions 28 to 507 of the family's 1533-position model. The record is from RNAcentral.
GACGAACGCUGGCGGCGUGCUUAACACAUGCAAGUCGAACGGAAAGGCCCUGCUUGCAGGGUGCUCGAGUGGCGAACGGGUGAGUAACACGUGGGUGAUCUGCCCCUUACUUUGGGAUAAGCCUGGGAAACUGGGUCUAAUACUGGAUAGGACCAUGCUGUAGGUGGUGUGGUGGAAAGAUUAGUUUCGGUAAGGGAUGAGCUCGCGGCCUAUCAGCUUGUUGGUGGGGUAAUGGCCUACCAAGGCGUCGACGGGUAGCCGGCCUGAGAGGGUGGACGGCCACAUUGGGACUGAGAUACGGCCCAGACUCCUACGGGAGGCAGCAGUGGGGGAUAUUGCACAAUGGGCGCAAGCCUGAUGCAGCGACGCCGCGUGGGGGGUGACGGCCUUCGGGUUGUAAACUCCUUUCAGCCAUGACGAAGCCCUUGUGGUGACGGUAGUGGUAGAAGAAGCACCGGCUAACUACGUG